UAAUACGGAGGGGGCGAGCGUUGUCCGAAUUUAUUGGGCGUAAAGCGCGUGUAGGCGGGUGAUCAAGCCUGUGGUGAAAGGUUGGGGCUCAACCCCAAGAGUGCCGUGGGGACUGGUCGCCUGGAGGCAGGCAGAGGAGAGCGGAAUUCCUGGUGUAGCGGUGGAAUGCGUAGAGAUCAGGAAGAACACCCGUGGCGAAGGCGGCUCUCUGGGCCUGUCCUGACGCUGAGACGCGAAAGCGUGGGGAGCGAACAGG
Molecule: ribosomal RNA, 256 nt
Filed under: uncultured bacterium
Lineage: Bacteria
Description: partial 16S ribosomal RNA
Rfam family: Bacterial small subunit ribosomal RNA
Source: RNAcentral